AACUUUUGGCAACGGAUCUCUUGGCUUUCGCAUCGAUGAAGAACGACGCGAACGCGCGAAACGUAAUGUGAAUUGCAGGAUUCAGUGAAUCAUCGAAUCUUUGAACGCACCUUGCGCUCCUCGGCAUUCCGAGGAGCAUGCCUGUUUGAGUGUCGUGAAGUCUCAUCGGAUAAGGGGUCCCUUGUGAAAGCGGGCCUCUUUUUCGGACUUGGACGGUCUUGCCUUCGCUCGAAGGCUCGUCUUCAAAUUCAUCGGCGAGGGUUUCCAGUCCCCCUACGAGACGCGUGAUAAGUCUUGCGUCGUCCGGGGGUAAGGAGCCCGCGUCUUUAUCACUCUUUUAACACCCUGACCUCAAAUCAGGCAGGACUACCCGCUGAACUUAAGCAUAUCAAUAAGCGGAGGCU
RNAcentral lists this unclassified non-coding RNA (404 nucleotides) under uncultured Dictyophora. RNAcentral describes it as "sequence contains ITS2". The stretch from base 1 to 155 matches the Rfam family "5.8S ribosomal RNA". Lineage: Eukaryota; Fungi; Basidiomycota; Agaricomycetes; Phallales; Phallaceae. The record is from RNAcentral.